Molecule: long non-coding RNA, 933 nt
Organism: Girardinichthys multiradiatus
Lineage: Eukaryota; Metazoa; Chordata; Actinopteri; Cyprinodontiformes; Goodeidae
Exons: 3
Source: RefSeq, a predicted model, not a curated record
UUGAUCAAGUGUGAAAGGCUUCUUCAGCCGUUGGAUGAUGACACAGAAGAAGGACUUGUUGACCAUCCCUGCUGACUAAUUGCUGCCUUCAACGCAGACUGAAGUAGUUGUUAAACUAAUUAAGUACAGCAAUUGCUAUGUCUUCAAACAUCCAGUCACAAUGCAAAAGUCAGAAGUAAGCUGACAGGAAAGGAGUGGAAAGACAUGCAGCAAAGGUCAUUUGGGCCGAGAGUCAAACCCACAAUGGCAUCGAUGACUGAAGGCUGGGUCGUGCAUUUUAACCAUGUGCCACCAUCGCAUCCUUGAUAGUUGGAUUUUUAAUGUUUUGAUUAUCCAAAAUUAUUUAGUGAGAAUGACAUUUAAAAGAAUAUAACUGAAUUAUAAAUCGAUAAUCCUAAUGUUAUUUUAACUAGCUUUUCAUGAAGUAAUGGAGCACUAAAAUGUAACUAGAGACGCCGUCUCAUCUAGGAACUUCUGGCUCAGAUUCAUUUUCUGCAGAACCUCAGAAAAAAAGGUUUAAGACAAGGUUGUCUUAAUUGCGCAUUUAGCUGUUUAGCAAGAACACUGGGUACUCAAACAGCAGAUCAUUACUCAAUGUUGUCAUUCUCGAUCGGCAGGUACUCAGACACCGCAACGUAGUCAACUCUGAAUCCAAGUUUGAAGAAUUAGUCCAGCUUUCCAGGAAGUGGGACAUUCACACGUAUUUCCCACAUCUGCGUCUCUAAAAAGCGUAGAGAUUUGAGGUGAAGCUGGUAGAACAGUUUUGUUAGCGGCUCCAUGACAUCACAAGGAUUCCAGCUGGGACUCCUCCUUCUUGGGUUUCACAAACAUUUAUUUUUCCUUCUCAUAGAAAGUACACCCUGGAUCAGUGCUUCUUUGUUCUCUUUGUGUCUUUGCUCUGUUCUCUCAAACCCCCAGUCGGUCGUGGCAGAU